RNAcentral lists this ribosomal RNA (643 nucleotides) under uncultured bacterium. RNAcentral's name for it is "bacterial SSU rRNA". It matches the Rfam family "Bacterial small subunit ribosomal RNA", at positions 79 to 718 of the family's 1533-position model. The record is from RNAcentral.
CUUGCUUCUCUUGAGAGCGGCGGACGGGUGAGUAAUGCCUAGGAAUCUGCCUGGUAGUGGGGGAUAACGUUCGGAAACGGACGCUAAUACCGCAUACGUCCUACGGGAGAAAGCAGGGGACCUUCGGGCCUUGCGCUAUCAGAUGAGCCUAGGUCGGAUUAGCUAGUUGGUGGGGUAAUGGCUCACCAAGGCGACGAUCCGUAACUGGUCUGAGAGGGUGAUCAGUCACACUGGAACUGAGACACGGUCCAGACUCCUACGGGAGGCAGCAGUGGGGAAUAUUGGACAAUGGGCGAAAGCCUGAUCCAGCCAUGCCGCGUGUGUGAAGAAGGUCUUCGGAUUGUAAAGCACUUUAAGUUGGGAGGAAGGGUUGUAGAUUAAUACUCUGCAAUUUUGACGUUACCGACAGAAUAAGCACCGGCUAACUCUGUGCCAGCAGCCGCGGUAAUACAGAGGGUGCAAGCGUUAAUCGGAAUUACUGGGCGUAAAGCGCGCGUAGGUGGUUUGUUAAGUUGGAUGUGAAAUCCCCGGGCUCAACCUGGGAACUGCAUUCAAAACUGACUGACUAGAGUAUGGUAGAGGGUGGUGGAAUUUCCUGUGUAGCGGUGAAAUGCGUAGAUAUAGGAAGGAACACCAGUGGCGA